This 253-nucleotide unclassified non-coding RNA is filed under the name uncultured Flavobacteriaceae bacterium. Its description in RNAcentral is "contains 16S-23S intergenic spacer region". It matches the Rfam family "Bacterial small subunit ribosomal RNA", at positions 524 to 776 of the family's 1533-position model. Lineage: Bacteria; Pseudomonadati; Bacteroidota; Flavobacteriia; Flavobacteriales; Flavobacteriaceae. The record is from RNAcentral.
UACGGAGGAUCCAAGCGUUAUCCGGAAUCAUUGGGUUUAAAGGGUCCGUAGGCGGAUCAGUAAGUCAGUGGUGAAAGUCUGCAGCUCAACUGUAGAAUUGCCAUUGAUACUGCUGUUCUUGAGUCAUUAUGAAGUGGUUAGAAUGAGUAGUGUAGCGGUGAAAUGCAUAGAUAUUACUCAGAAUACCGAUUGCGAAGGCAGAUCACUAAUAAUGUACUGACGCUGAUGGACGAAAGCGUGGGGAGCGAACAGG